GAAUAAGAAGCGAAAAAUUGCAUUCAGUUUCGACCUGAAAGAAAGGUAAUAUUUACCCUUAUUCU
Molecule: transfer RNA, 65 nt
Filed under: Ommexecha virens
Lineage: Eukaryota; Metazoa; Arthropoda; Insecta; Orthoptera; Ommexechidae
Description: tRNA-Arg
Source: RNAcentral